This 377-nucleotide ribosomal RNA is filed under the name uncultured bacterium. RNAcentral's name for it is "bacterial SSU rRNA". It matches the Rfam family "Bacterial small subunit ribosomal RNA", at positions 523 to 898 of the family's 1533-position model. The record is from RNAcentral.
ACACGUAGGGGGCGAGCGUUGUCCGGAAUUACUGGGCGUAAAGGGCGUGUAGGCGGCCUGUCAAGUCAGGUGUGAAAAACCGGGGCUCAACCCUGGUCGUGCACUUGAAACUGGCGGGCUUGAGUGCAGGAGAGGAAAGUGGAAUUCCCAGUGUAGCGGUGAAAUGCGUAGAUAUUGGGAGGAACACCAGUGGCGAAGGCGACUUUCUGGCCUGUAACUGACGCUGAGGCGCGAAAGCUAGGGGAGCAAACAGGAUUAGAUACCCUGGUAGUCCUAGCCGUAAACGAUGGGUACUAGGUGUAGGGGGUUUAUACACUUUCUGUGCCGUAGUUAACACAUUAAGUACCCCGCCUGGGGAGUACGGCCGCAAGGCUGAA